RNAcentral lists this ribosomal RNA (397 nucleotides) under uncultured bacterium. Its description in RNAcentral is "partial 16S ribosomal RNA". It matches the Rfam family "Bacterial small subunit ribosomal RNA", at positions 523 to 918 of the family's 1533-position model. The record is from RNAcentral.
AUACGUAGGUGGCAAGCGUUGUCCGGAAUUAUUGGGCGUAAAGCGCGCGCAGGUGGUUCCUUAAGUCUGAUGUGAAAGCCCCCGGCUCAACCGGGGAGGGUCAUUGGAAACUGGGGAACUUGAGUGCAGAAGAGGAUAGUGGAAUUCCAAGUGUAGCGGUGAAAUGCGUAGAGAUUUGGAGGAACACCAGUGGCGAAGGCGACUGUCUGGUCUUUAACUGACACUGAGGCGGGAAAGCGUGGGGAGCAAACAGGAUUAGUUACCCUGGUAGUCCACGCCGUAAACGAUGAGUGCUAAGUGUUGGGGGGUUUCCGCCCCUCAGUGCUGCAGCUAACGCAUUAAGCACUCCGCCUGGGGAGUACGGUCGCAAGACUGAAACUCAAAGGAAUUGACGGGG